CAAGCCAGUUGGAGCUCGCUCCGCAACGGUGGGUCUGCGAACGGCUCAUUACAACAGUAAUGAUCUACACGGUGAAAGCGGGGCCACCCCGCCAGACGGAUAACCAUGCGAAAACGCCGGGCUAAUACAUGAACAAGAUCCAGUUCCGUCCAAUGGGUGAGGGGAAACCUGAUCCCAUGGAGUUGGAUUGCCUAUGGCUACGAUAAGAACCAACGCCAGCAAUGGCAGUGAUAUGAUUGAUGAAUCAAGCCAUAGAGCGAUAGCGCAUGCCUCGAGCAGCGCAGGACCGUACGAAUUUCUGCCCUAUCAGCUUUGAUGGUAGCGCAGUGGGCUACCAUGGCUGCAACGGGUACGAGGAAUCAGGGUUCGAUUCCGGAGAGGGAGCCUGAGAAACGGCUACCACGGGUACGCCCGGCAGCAGGCGCGCAAAUUGCCCAAUCGUCAUUGACGGAGGCAGCGAAGAGAAAUAUCAAUCCUGGCUUUGAAGUCGGGAGUGAAGUGGGCUGUAUGUAAAACAACGGCGUUCCAGAUUGGAGGACAAGCCCGGUGCCAGCACCCGCGGUAAUUCCGGCUCCAAGAGCGUAUAUUGACGCUGCUGCUGUUAAAGGGUUCGUAGUUGGGGCAAGAGACUUGGGUUAGGCUGGUGCCAUUUCAGUGGCAUACGCCAGCACUUGCCCUGCUCGUUAGAUACGAACAGAGCUCCUGCGGACACUCCUCCGGGGGUUGAUGCAACACCGCAUAUAUCGUGCAGGGAGCAUCCGUAGUAUCACUGUGAACAAAACAGCGUGUCCAAAGCAGCCUUUUACGGCUGAAUGCAAAAGCAUGGAAUGACAAGGGAUCGACCAUUGGUGCCAUCCCCCUUGUUGGUUUAUGAGGCCCAAAGGAGAGACGAGUUUGCGCGCCAAAGCGUGUGUGCAGGGCGAGCUUCGGUUCAAUCUGCCACGCGUAAGGCGCCUUCUCGGCUGGGAUCAACAGGGGCUGUCGGGGGAAGACGUAUGGGUAUGCGAGAGGUGAAAUUCUGUGACCAUACUCAGACGAACCGAUGCGAAGGCUUCUUCCAAGUAUGCCUUCAUUAAUCAAGAACCAAAGCGUGGAGAUCGAAGAUGAUUAGAUACCAUCGUAGUCCACGCUGUAAAUGCUGGCGCCCAUGGGCUGGGUAGCUUGCUUUGGACUCCCCAGAACGAUCUAUUCCCACGAGAAAUCUCUGAGGUUAUGGCCUCAUGGGGGAGUACGUUCGCAAGGCUGAAACUUAAAGAAAUUGACGGAAUGGCACCACCAGGCGUGGAGCGUGCGGUUUAAUUUGACUCAACACGGGGAACCUUACCAGGUCAGAACCCCGUUAGGAUUGACAGAUUGACAGCUCUUUCUUGAUUCGGAUGAUGGUGGUGCAUGGCCGCUCUUCGUUGGUGGAGUGAUUUGUUUGGUUGAUUCCGUGAACGAACGAGAUCUCAGCCUCUAAAUAGGGGAUGGUCACUACGGGCGGUUUGCGGCCUUCGGGAUUCGCGACCGUCUAGACGCCACCUGCCUUCUUAGAGGAACAUCGUGCGCCUUUUAGCACGAUGGAGCGAGCCAAUAGCAGGUCUGUGAUGCCCCUAAAUGUUCUGGGCUACACGCGCACUACACUGACAGAGUGAGCGAGUUUGAGCUCGCCUUGCGAGCCUGCUCCGAAAGGAGUGGGAAACCUUUAAAACUCUGUCGUGAUGGGGAUCGCAGAUUGCAAUUAUUCCUCUUGAACGAGGAAUGCCUAGUAGGCGCAUUUCAUCAGAGUGCACUGAUUACGUCCCUGCCAUUUGUACACACCGCCCGUCGUUGCUGCCGAUUGGGCGAAGGAUAGAGGUUGAUGGAGGCGGUUGGGUUCGUCCUGACAACAGAAGUCCACCGAUAUCCUUCGUCUAGAGGAAGCAAAAGUCGC
RNAcentral lists this ribosomal RNA (1912 nucleotides) under uncultured kinetoplastid. Its description in RNAcentral is "bacterial SSU rRNA". It matches the Rfam family "Eukaryotic small subunit ribosomal RNA". Lineage: Eukaryota; Euglenozoa; Kinetoplastea. The record is from RNAcentral.